CGGACGGGUGAGUAACACGUGAGUAACCUGCCUUAGACAUUGGGAUAGCCUCGGGAAACCGGGAUUAAUACCAAAUAAAAUCAUAAUGACACAUGUCAUAACGAUCAAAACUCCGGUGGUCUAAGAUGGACUCGCGUCCCAUUAGCUAGUUGGUAGAGUAAAAGCCUACCAAGGCGACGAUGGGUAGCCGGCCUGAGAGGGUGAACGGCCACAUUGGAACUGAGAAACGGUCCAA
RNAcentral lists this ribosomal RNA (235 nucleotides) under uncultured Eubacteriales bacterium. Its description in RNAcentral is "uncultured Clostridiales bacterium partial 16S ribosomal RNA". It matches the Rfam family "Bacterial small subunit ribosomal RNA", at positions 99 to 334 of the family's 1533-position model. The record is from RNAcentral. Lineage: Bacteria; Bacillati; Bacillota; Clostridia; Eubacteriales.